This 653-nucleotide long non-coding RNA is filed under the name Elaeis guineensis (African oil palm). RNAcentral's name for it is "long non-coding RNA (EGUI_LNC054940)". Lineage: Eukaryota; Viridiplantae; Streptophyta; Magnoliopsida; Arecales; Arecaceae. The record is from RNAcentral.
GAUGAUUCUGGUGUUGGAUUUUCUAAUGCUAGUGCAUGUAGAUUUCAAAAUUUUUUUAAAUCUAAAAUAUAGCUAAAAAAAUUAGAUUAAAAUAUUUUUAAUCUAAGCAUAUAUUCAUCAUAUGAAAACACCUAUGGAUCUAGUCAUAUGCUGAAAUUAACAUAAACUGAUUUUAGAAAUAACAAAUGAAAGUUUGUAAUUAAUCACAUAUCUGAAUCAUUUUUCCUUCAAACCUAUAACUGGGGUUGAAUCCGAUUCAAUCCCUAGAUCUGGAUCCGGAUAGAUUCUGAAUCAGCAGCACAAGCAUCCUGUCUGUACGGAUAUCCACAGGGCCAAUCUCAAUUAUUUUCUCUUGGAUCCUGCUUGUCUAAACCAAAGUCUAAAUAGGCUUGAACCACACUUGGAUCGAAAUAGAACCACUUUGAUGACUCUUUUAAUCUUUCUUUUUUGAUUCUUGAAGAAACCAAGAACCCUUUCUUGAUCCUUCAACUAAUCAAAAGGAACAACAACCAAGAAUUGGUUGUAACUGACUCUCAACAAACUUGAGAGCAAAGAGAACAAAAACCAAAUAAGUGGUGCCAACAAUUGACCCACUUCCUUGGAUGUGCCGCCCACCCUCAUUUUUUUAGCUUUAAGGGAGGAUGUCAAGAGAG